AAAAACUGGGGUGUAUUUUCCUUAGGCAAUGAUUUGCCUCCUAACUCCUUCUCCAUGAGGCUGGGAAAACUAAUGUUUUACCUCAUUGGGGAAGGGAAGAAGGAAGUUACUCUUCCAAACAGAAAGUAAAUUACAAGCAUGGCACAUUCUAUGAAAAAGCAGUGCAUUACCUGUCUCAAACAGCUUUCAGGUUUAGUAUUUUUUUUCAUGAGUGCACUGAUCCUUUCACUUAUCUAGUCUAAAAUUCAGGGGAGAAAUUCAUUUCCCUACAACCCUUUGCCAUUUGGGCCUACCCAGUCUCCAAGAUUCAUCUAAUUUGGGAUUCCUUCACACUAUGCUCAGCAAGGAGUUCUCCCUUGCUAUGGGAGAUCCAAGAGCUUUGACAAAAGGUAUCUGAAUGGAUUGAGAAAGGAACUUUAAAAAGUCUGGAGGAGAAGGGAACAAAGGAGCCAUUAUAUAGUGCCAAGAAGCACAAGGUCAAAGAGACCAACCAAUCCUAAUGGGGUUGAUGAAAAUCUUCACAGUACAAAGGAGCACAAGGUCAAAAAGGACCAAACCAAUCCAGAGAAGCCUAUCUGCGAUGAAAGUUAUCAUGAGAUCUUAACUGAAGGAGGAAUAAGCAAUUCAAGCCUCUUCUCCCCACAUCUUUCCUCAAGGAAGAUUCCUGCUAAGGGAGAAAACAAGCCGUUAGGAUGGGAUAUUCACUCUUCUCUUCUCGGAGAAAAGAUUUUAGAAAAAGACAUAACAAAGUUCAUUUGGAUCAAGGAUAUCCAGGGAAAUCAUGAAAAUAAAAAUACAAACGAAGGUGGACUUGCAGUACCAAAUCUCAAACUAUACUAUAAAGCAGUGGUCAUCAAAACAAUUUGGUACUGGCUAAGAGACAGAAUGGAGGAUCAGUGGAAUACACU
Molecule: long non-coding RNA, 908 nt
Filed under: Monodelphis domestica (gray short-tailed opossum)
Lineage: Eukaryota; Metazoa; Chordata; Mammalia; Didelphimorphia; Didelphidae
Description: lncRNA (ENSMODG00000042154.1)
Source: RNAcentral